Molecule: unclassified non-coding RNA, 188 nt
Filed under: soil metagenome
Description: partial contains 5.8S ribosomal RNA, internal transcribed spacer 2, and large subunit ribosomal RNA
Source: RNAcentral
AACCAUUCUCACCUGCGGCUAGACCUGCGGAGGGAUCAUCUUUGAAUUUGAUCUCCAAUUUCCAGGCGGCCCGUGGUCCAAUUUUGGACUCGGGCUUUCUGCCAAUUCUGGGAAUUGCGCUUGUCUUUUGACGGGCGCAUUUUCCACAAACCUAACACACUAAUAGCACAACUUUUAACAAUGGAUCU